RNAcentral lists this ribosomal RNA (596 nucleotides) under fungal sp. AM2013. RNAcentral's name for it is "eukaryotic LSU rRNA". The stretch from base 228 to 381 matches the Rfam family "5.8S ribosomal RNA". The record is from RNAcentral. Lineage: Eukaryota; Fungi.
CCCUCACGGGCGCAACCCCAGAUACCCUUUGUGAACUUAUACCUUUUAAUCGUUGCCUCGGCGCCGAGCCCGGGGAGGAAAACGAAGGAAGUUUCUUCUUUCUUUCGUAUUUUCCCCCUCCCCUCACCGUGCAGACGGUGCUGGAGCAGGCCCGCCGGCGGCCCACCAAACUCUCUGUUUUUAGAACGUACCUCUUCUGAGAGACUUAUAAACAAAAAAUGAAUCAAAACUUUCAACAACGGAUCUCUUGGUUCUGGCAUCGAUGAAGAACGCAGCGAAAUGCGAUAAGUAAUGUGAAUUGCAGAAUUCAGUGAAUCAUCGAAUCUUUGAACGCACAUUGCGCCCGCUGGAAUUCCAGCGGGCAUGCCUGUUCGAGCGUCAUUUCAACCCUCAAGCCUGGCUUGGUGUUGGGGCGCUACCCGUCAAACGGUAGGCCCUCAAAUUCAGUGGCGGGCUCGCUAAGAUUCUGAGCGUAGUAGUUUUAAAUCACCUCGCUCCGGAAGGAUUAGCGGUGCGCUUGCCGUAAAACCCCCCCUUCUCACUGAAAUUUUGACCUCGGAUCAGGUAGGAAUACCCGCUGAACUUAAGCAUAUCAA